Molecule: long non-coding RNA, 349 nt
Organism: Pseudoliparis swirei
Lineage: Eukaryota; Metazoa; Chordata; Actinopteri; Perciformes; Liparidae
Exons: 5
Source: RefSeq, a predicted model, not a curated record
GCGUGCUCUGCCCUCGGCAUCGUGUCGGAUCACGGAGCAGCUCGACGGAAGGCCUGAAGGACCUCCAUGGAAACCCGCUGGAGCGGAAACGAGCUAACGGCAGCGCGCAGGAGGCGAGCAGCUAACGGCUCACGCUGCAAAGUCAAGGGAAACCGACCUGAGACCAGCCGUCUGUUAUCUCAUUACUUCCAAAGUCAAGUGAAACCGACCUGAGACCAGCCUUCUGUUAUCGAACUACGGAGGAUGCAGCAUGCGUUUCAUCCACUGGUGGCAGCUCUGAAUGCACAGACGCUGAUGACCCUGACCAGAAGGAAGAGAGUUCCAGACAGGCGAAAACGUGGCGAGGCGC